AUGUACCCGGACGGCUCGCACGCGCUGGGACACCACCGCUUCCUCCAGCGGGGCCGCCCCCCCUGCGUCCCCUGUGAGUACGACUGUCACAGGAGAGACGUCCGGGCCCCGCCGCCCCCUCAGCGCAGCCCACAGAGGAGGCCUGUGUUGGCGGGGCCCGGCCCCUGGAGCCAAACAUGCGUCUGGGAGGUGAACCCGGCGCUGUGGGGCCGCCCGGCGCCGCCCGCAGGGACACACUGCUCCUCUGUCAGCCAACACUGCGGCUGUGUAGCAGACAGGUACGACGGGGGGCCCGCCCUCUACAGCGGGAUACCGCACCCUCUGCCCCAUCUUCAGGUCAAAGGUCACGGGUACAGGCGGAGACGGACCAUCAGGUAUCUGUCCAUGGACGAGGAGGAAGGCUGUGGAUGUUCUUCCGGAAGCUACCAGGUGGCAAACGGGCACUGCGGAGCGGGGGAGGGAGGGGCGCACAGGGAUAACCAUCAGGAGCCGGAGAGGCUGGAGGCGGGAUCAAAGGAGGGAUGUGAGGCUUCUCAUGAGCGCUUCUUCUCCACGGAGGUUCCUCAGAAUCAUCUGAACCACAGCAGGAGGAAGGGAACCUGCAACCUUCCCACCUGCUCGGAGACCUCCCCGUCCACCAACGUCUGCCAGCGGCGGCGUUCCGAGGAGACGCGGCAGAGGAGGAGGAAGCCGACGGUCCGGGAUCAGAUCCGGCAAGUGGUGACAGAUCUGGAGGACGUGCUGGGGGGGUUGAAGCAAGUUCACGUGGAGAUGAAAGAGGUGGUGGACCAGAUCGAUCGCCUCACAGCAGACAUCCACCUGGAGGUGCCGGCCCUCCCCCAGGGACCGUCCAAUCACCUUCACGGCUCUGCUCCUGCAGGAGACCUGAGGGUCGCCCUGUUAGCUAAUCACAAGCCCGCUUCAGGUCAGGCCCCCCAACCCAACGACGAGGACCGCGUCAUCCUCCGAACAAACGGCCCCUCCCCCGUCCACAUGGCAUCAGUUGUCAAAACCAACAGCUUCGUCCCCCCCAGCCUCAACAGGGACACGAGCCAGGAACGGCUCAGUGUAAACGGACACCUCCCUCAUCUGAACCCGAAGCGAGCCCCCAACCACACCGACCCCCCCCAGACCCUGGAGCCAAAGGUCAUCAUCGAGAACGGCCCCUCCAAGCCCCAAACGCAGAAGCCCCCCCCGUAUCCUCAGAACGGCAGAUGUGGGAGGGGCCCCCAGCCUCAGACCCGGCCUGCAAAGCCCCCCGCCCACCCUGUCAGAGGACGCCAGAGCACCAGCAUGGUGUAGGGGGGCCUGACCCGUGAGGCUCCUCCGUGACGGGCGGAGGUGGGCGGGGCCCCGGCGGGGGCCGCCUGUCAGUAAGUGACGUUCUGUUGAUGUUUCUGUGAUGACGUCGGCGUGUUUACUGGCAGCUCGCUUCAAAGGCAGAAACGAGCUGCAGCGUGCGGCGUGGGGGGGGGGGGUGUCUGUGUGUGGGCGGGGGGGGGGUGUCUCUCUCUCUCUCUCUCUCCUCUGUCUGUCCUGGACGAGCAGCAGCAGCUUCUGUCAGAGAUGCUCCACAUGUGGAUGUAAUCAGCAGAGGAGGGAAAACUUCCCUCCUGACUGAAGCGCUUUCCUUCCAGGAGUCCGGUGAGGAAUUCUGUCGGGAAAAGCAACAUUUGAAGAGGAAUUCUGUGUCGGGAAAAGCAACAUUUGAAGAGGAAUUCUGUGUCGGGAAAAACAAAAUCUGAAGAGGAAUUCUGUGUCGGGAAAAGCAACAUCUGAAACAUUUCACUCUGGAGAGGAGCUUGAAGAUCCUCGUUCUGCAGCUCUUUAGGCAGGUUGAUUAGUUUGUAUCUGAUGAAGUCAAACAAAGUUCUGCUGCUGUCGUGAGUGAAGACGUCCCGUCUGCCCCCCCCCGCAGCAGGAGCGGGAACAGCUCCUCUGAUGCUGCAGAGCCGUGGGAGUUCAGGGCCUCCCUCUCGUGCAGAAAAUGCGGAACUGCAGUCUAUUUUUCUGGGCCCUCUGGUUGGGUAAGCGCAGUCUGGUUUCAAUCAUAAACCCCCCUCCGCCGCGUGCCAGAGCCCAGCGAACGCCGGGUACGUCUGUGAGCGCCGUGAACCGCCGCCGCCGGCAGAGGCACGCUCCGAGGCUGGCGGGCGGACAGAACCGGAAUCAGCUCCGCUGGAGAGUUUCUGUCGGCAUUUUAGAUCCUUUCAGUCCCUCAGAGCGCAGGUUCAAUGCUAACAGGACACGUUGCUAAGCAACCACAGUAUGCACUGCAAGCGACCCCCCCCCCACUGCUUCAGCAUCAAAAGAUUCCACAUUUAUGUAUUUUAACUGCAAAAACUGAGAAAACACAGAUUCGCAUUAAUGUAACAUUAAAAGAGACGAUUUUGUUCAAAAUUAACUUUUAGGAUUUUGUGUCCAUUAAAACAUUUUUUAUAAAGAUGUAGACUUAAAAUAUUAACAAUAACUUAAUUUGAUCAGAAUGAUCAUUUUAUUUAUAUAAAAACAGCAACACAUACUAGUUAUUUUCAAAAUAAAAGACUUCCUGAGCUGCAGAUUGAUCUGAACUUAAACUCAGAAUUUUAUAUCUACGUGACUUUGGUGCACCUUCACACCUUUCUCCUUUUAAUAUAAAAUAUGAACAAGAAUAUCUUAUUUUCUUUAAAAUCUAAAUGUGCUUUAAGUAGAAUCAACCUGUUAACAUCAUUCUAAUCAUUUAUCUGACAUCUAAAUCUAAACUUAACCCCACUUAACAUCUGAAUUUAUUUCUAGCUAAUAAAAAUAUAUUCACUUUGCUUUUUUCUUUUAAGUAAAUGCUACAUGUAGGUCAUUGUAUUAUUAUUAUUCGGGCAUUAAGGGGUUAAUUACCUAAAAACAAAUGAACAAGAACCACAAACCCAUUAAUUAUUCAACCAUUAGCCACAAUGGACCAAUGAAUAAUAGAUAUUUAUUCAUGUUUUGUGGUAAAUACUCCUCAACUCUUUGGAUGACAUUUAAUCAUCUCUGUUCCACAUAUUUAUCUGAAUUAUUAAUAGAGUUUAUUUUAUUUAAACACAGAUCUGAGUUAUUGGAAGGGAAUUAAACCUAAUAAAUGUAAACAAACCAAAAAAAUGAGGAAAGUUUGGUUAAUAUAUUUGUCUGAGAUAUUUUAUUUUCAGACAAAUUUAAAAGAAAGACCGAAAAAAAAAAUUUAACAUAAAUAUCAUAAAAGGAGUGAGAAAAUCUAAAUGUUUCAUACAUUCUCAUCCACUGUCUCUUCUGGUGAAGAGUACACGUUCAGGUACUCAUAUAAACACGUUGAAGUAUGCAUAUAGAAAAAUAAACAGAAAAACAUCCGACGACCCAUUUGUGAUUGUCACAAACGAGCAGACAGCUGGUUCCACCUGCAGCAGGUGUGUUAGCUAAAAGUCCACAAAGCUAAAUCAGGGUCAGACAGGCAGAGGUCAAUCAUGAACAUGGGGUCAUGUGCGCUGGGGUUGCUGGGAGAUGCAGUGACUUCAGCACUCCACCAGAGGGGGGAGACAGACCUCUGACUCCUGAUAGUGAUGUAUAAACACUCAUUUGGUUCCAUUUUAAAUCUCAUUCUCCAACAAAUGCAGUUUUGUCUGUUUUCUUAACCCGUUGUGUCUCUUUCAGGCUCACCAGAGCCAAACCCGGAUACUAAAGCAGUUUCACUACUGCAUGAUUCUGAUUUAUAUUCAUAUAUAUCACUGUUUAUUUAAAUUUUGUAUAAUGAUGUAUAUUUAUAUUUCGAAAGUAUUUUAUGUUUGGACAUAAAAGACAAGUUCCUUUGAUUCUGUGAACCAAAGAAAUGUGAAAAAAAGUUCUUUUAAAUGAUUAACAAGGAGCUCCUAGAUUCACUUUCUAUUUAAUCUUAAAAUGAUCUAAUGAUAUAGCAAUAUUCUAUAGUAUCAGACACACAGCCUGAGGGGAUUCUGUCAGCACGUCAGACCAGAAACCUUCUGAACUUCUCUGCAGAAUCUGGACGUUCCUCUGAUGUAGGGCUGCCACGAUUAGUCGACUAAUCGAUGACUAAUCGACCAUUAAAAUAGUCGACAACUAAUUUAAUAGUCGAUUAGUCGUUUCUUUGUAAUAUAUGGAGUCAGGCUGUAGUGAAGUUGAAAGUUAUAAUGACAUUCUGCAGCUUUUUAGACUAUUUUGGCAUUUAUUAAGGGUUUUCAGGCUAUUUUGGAGUUUAGCUAAUAUUUUAGCUUCAUGCUAGCUAUUUAUAAUUUGGAAUUAAGAUAAUAUUUCAGCUACAUAUUAGCUCUUUUGGCUAAUUUAGGAUUUUUUCAGUUUUUUA
Long non-coding RNA from Oryzias javanicus (javanese ricefish), 4306 nucleotides. NCBI's taxonomy places the organism in Eukaryota, Metazoa, Chordata, Actinopteri, Beloniformes, Adrianichthyidae. The record is from Ensembl.